CUCCGGUUGAUCCCGCCGGACCCGACUGCUAUCAGAGUGGGACUAAGCCAUGCGAGUCGACGUAGCAAUGCGUGGCGAACGGCUCAGUAACACGUAGUCAACAUGCCCAGGGGACGUGGAUAACCUCGGGAAACUGAGAAUAAACCACGAUAGGUCAUGAUUUCUGGAAUGGAUCAUGGCUCAAAUCUACAUGGCCCCUGGAUUGGACUGCGGCCGAUCAGGCAGUUGGUGAGGUAAAGGCCCACCAAACCUAUAACCGGUACGGGCUCUGAGAGGAGAAGCCCGGAGAUGGGCACUGAGACAAGGGCCCAGGCCCUAUGGGGCGCAGCAGGCGCGAAACCUCUGCAAUAGGCGAAAGCCUGACAGGGUUACUCUGAGUGAUUUCCGCUAAGGGGAUCUUUUGGCACCUCUAAAAAUGGUGCAGAAUAAGGGGUGGGCAAGUCUGGUGUCAGCCGCCGCGGUAAUACCAGCACCCCGAGUGGUCGGGACGAUUAUUGGGCCUAAAGCAUCCGUAGCCGGUUCUGCAAGUCUUCCGUUAAAUCCAGCCGCUCAACGGAUGGGCCGCGGAGGAUACUACAGGACUAGGAGGCGGGAGAGGCAAGCAGUACUCAGUGGGUAGGGGUAAAAUCCUUUGAUCCAUUGAAGACCACCAGUGGCGAAGGCGGCUUGCCAGAACGCGCUCGACGGUGAGGGAUGAAAGCUGGGGGAGCAAACCGGAUUAGAUACCCGGGUAGUCCCAGCUGUAAACGAUGCAGACUCGGUGAUGGGCUAGCCUUGUGCCAGCCCAGUGCCGCAGGGAAGCCGUUAAGUCUGCCGCCUGGGGAGUACGGUCGCAAGACUGAAACUUAAAGGAAUUGGCGGGGGAGCA
RNAcentral lists this ribosomal RNA (868 nucleotides) under uncultured archaeon. RNAcentral describes it as "bacterial SSU rRNA". It matches the Rfam family "Archaeal small subunit ribosomal RNA", at positions 1 to 878 of the family's 1478-position model. The record is from RNAcentral.